This 378-nucleotide unclassified non-coding RNA is filed under the name uncultured Actinomycetes bacterium. RNAcentral describes it as "uncultured actinobacterium contains 16S-23S intergenic spacer region". Lineage: Bacteria; Bacillati; Actinomycetota; Actinomycetes. The record is from RNAcentral.
UCCGAGUUGACCCCGGCAGUCUCCUAUGAGUCCCCGGCAUAACCCGCUGGCAACAUAGAACGAGGGUUGCGCUCGUUGUGGGACUUAACCCAACAUCUCACGACACGAGCUGACGACAACCAUGCACCACCUGUGAACCGGCCCCAAAGGGGAAGGACUGUUUCCAGCCCGGUCCGGCCCAUGUCAAGCCUUGGUAAGGUUCUUCGCGUUGCAUCGAAUUAAUCCGCAUGCUCCACCGCUUGUGCAGGCCCCCGUCAAUUUCUUUGAGUUUUAACCUUGCGGCCGUACUCCCCAGGCGGAUGACUUAACGCGUUAGCUGCGCCACCGGAACGCUAAGCGCCCCGACAGCUAGUUCUCAUCGUUUACGGCGUGGACUAC